RNAcentral lists this small nuclear RNA (23 nucleotides) under Arabidopsis thaliana (thale cress). Its description in RNAcentral is "snRNA_18039". The record is from RNAcentral. Lineage: Eukaryota; Viridiplantae; Streptophyta; Magnoliopsida; Brassicales; Brassicaceae.
ACCUCGGUUGAUCAAUUUGAUCA